Long non-coding RNA from Impatiens glandulifera, 325 nucleotides. RefSeq lists it as uncharacterized. The transcript has 3 exons. Lineage: Eukaryota; Viridiplantae; Streptophyta; Magnoliopsida; Ericales; Balsaminaceae. The record is from RefSeq and is a predicted model, not a curated record.
UCAAUUGGUAUUUUGGAGAGACGAUCAUGUGAAAGUUAUUGUAUGCGCGGCGUGUAUCCGGUGUAUUCUUUAAAGAUGGGGAAAAUGAGGAAUUCGUUAUCUUUGGCAACCUUGAUCUACAAGAUCUUUAAUGGUGGUUCUCAUUUUCGAAGUGAACUUGUUGUACUGUAUGGAUAGAAAACAAGGAAUCAAGUUCAUUAAGUGCAGAUAUUUGGAUUAGUUUACUCGUAUGUUUCGGAAGCUUUACAACAUGUGAGUAUGUUGUUCACCAAAUAUUAUACUUCUCUCCCCAUGAUCCAGUCUAUCUUGUUCUCUUGAAUAGUGG